This 237-nucleotide ribosomal RNA is filed under the name uncultured bacterium. Its description in RNAcentral is "partial 16S ribosomal RNA". It matches the Rfam family "Bacterial small subunit ribosomal RNA", at positions 524 to 758 of the family's 1533-position model. The record is from RNAcentral.
UACGUAGGGUGCAAGCGUUGUCCGGAAUUAUUGGGCGUAAAGAGCUCGUAGGCGGUUUGUCGCGUCUGCCGUGAAAUUUCGAGGCUCAACCUCGAACUUGCGGUGGGUACGGGCAGACUAGAGUGUGGUAGGGGAGACUGGAAUUCCUGGUGUAGCGGUGGAAUGCGCAGAUAUCAGGAGGAACACCGGUGGCGAAGGCGGGUCUCUGGGCAGUGAACUGACGCUGGAGGAGCGAAA